Molecule: long non-coding RNA, 1240 nt
Filed under: Panax ginseng (ginseng)
Lineage: Eukaryota; Viridiplantae; Streptophyta; Magnoliopsida; Apiales; Araliaceae
Description: long non-coding RNA (PGIN_LNC006807)
Source: RNAcentral
GCUCAAUUAUUUAUGUGUGCAAAUUAGAAUGUCAUACAUAAAUGAUCAAUUAUUUGUGUACAAAUUAAGUUGUUUAUUUGUGGAUAAAAAUCUGAUUUGUACAUCAUAAGGCACCACCAACCAUGAGCUGAUCUAGAUGGUAUCAUCCCUUCAACAAAAAAAGAGAUGAUAUCACUUUAACUUUGCACCACAAUGAUCAGGAGAUCAAAUUUCAGCAAUACUGCAAACAAUAUAAGCAGAGCAGAGUUCCAAAGUGCACUUAAUUCAAAAUGAUAGUACCUCACCAAACAGAGCAGCAGCUUAACAAAAGUUCACAUAGCAGAAGCUGAACAAAAACAACUAAAGCAAAUAUUGACAGAAAAAAAGAUCAGAAGAAGAAGACAAAACAUCUUAACACAGAGUAAACAAAUAUUGACAGAAAUAACAACGUAUCAUAAAUGAUUCUUAUCAUAAGGAAAACUCCACCAAAACAGAAGCAAUAACUAUAUAACAUAGCAGCAUAUUAACCACUGACAUCAAUGCUAAUGAAGUGCUCAAUACAUAAGGUUCCACCUUUGACAUUACCAAUUUAUGUUGUAAAUACAAAACUUAAUCAAAUACCAAAAAGACAUUUUUAGCAUAAAACCAUCAAACAGAAACAUCAAAGCAGUCUUUUAUCAUUACAAGUUCAAAUGGUAAUAAUUCAGUCACACAAAUACAUUUAAGGUGAUAUCCCAAAAACAAAAUUCACUAAAAUUACAUCGGAGAAUGGAAAGGAAAAACCAAAACAGAAAAUAAAAGGAGUACAAUUAUAUACUUGUUAGUUAUCUUUGAGUCAAAUUAUCAAACAUUUAGAAGACAAAAAUGGAGGAUACUCUAGCAAAGCAAACAAAAACCCAAGCAAUUAAUGAAAUUAAACAUGGAAUUGAAAGAGUAGAGCAUACAUACAUAUACACAUGGAAUGAAAAUGAUAAAUCGAUAUUCAAACAGUCCAUUCUGAGAAUUUAAAGCUAGAUUCAAGUGCUAAUUAUGGUAUGUAGAUCAAUUAGGUAUGAGAACGAGAUUGGUGGAGAUAUUGAACGAGAAUGAUGAAGAGAACCAGAUUGAUAAUACCUUUAUUCUCCUUCAGCGAUUUGCUCGAUCAAUUGGAUAUGAGAACGAGAUUGGUGAUAACUUGCUUCUUCGAUCGGUGGGAGAAAGGUAGGGAUAAAAGGUACCAUGGUGUUUAAAGAAUUCUAUAUAAAAUAAAAUUAUUACCGAU